GACGAACGCUGGCGGCGUGCUUAACACAUGCAAGUCGAACGGAAAGGCCCUGCUUUUGUGGGGUGCUCGAGUGGCGAACGGGUGAGUAACACGUGAGUAACCUGCCCUUGACUUUGGGAUAACUUCAGGAAACUGGGGCUAAUACCGGAUAGGAGCUCCUGCUGCAUGGUGGGGGUUGGAAAGUUUCGGCGGUUGGGGAUGGACUCGCGGCUUAUCAGCUUGUUGGUGGGGUAGUGGCUUACCAAGGCUUUGACGGGUAGCCGGCCUGAGAGGGUGACCGGCCACAUUGGGACUGAGAUACGGCCCGGACUCCUACGGGAGGCAGCAGUGGGGAAUAUUGCACAAUGGGCGGAAGCCUGAUGCAGCAACGCCGCGUGCGGGAUGACGGCCUUCGGGUUGUAAACCGCUUUCGCCUGUGACGAAGCGUUAGUGACGGUAAUGGGUAAAGAAGCACCGGCUAACUACGUG
RNAcentral lists this ribosomal RNA (468 nucleotides) under uncultured bacterium. RNAcentral describes it as "partial 16S ribosomal RNA". It matches the Rfam family "Bacterial small subunit ribosomal RNA", at positions 28 to 507 of the family's 1533-position model. The record is from RNAcentral.